This 253-nucleotide ribosomal RNA is filed under the name uncultured bacterium. RNAcentral's name for it is "partial 16S ribosomal RNA". It matches the Rfam family "Bacterial small subunit ribosomal RNA", at positions 524 to 776 of the family's 1533-position model. The record is from RNAcentral.
UACGUAGGUGGCAAGCGUUGUCCGGAAUUAUUGGGCGUAAAGCGCGCGCAGGCGGCCUCUUAAGUCUGAUGUGAAAUCUUGCGGCUCAACCGCAAGCGGCCAUUGGAAACUGGGGGGCUUGAGUACAGAAGAGGAGAGUGGAAUUCCACGUGUAGCGGUGAAAUGCGUAGAUAUGUGGAGGAACACCAGUGGCGGAGGCGACUCUCUGGUCUGUAACUGACGCUGAGGCGCGAAAGCGUGGGGAGCAAACAGG